CACGCCGUAAACGAUGAGUACUAGGUGUAGGAGGUAUCGACCCCUUCUGUGCCGCAGUAAACACAAUAAGUACUCCGCCUGGGAAGUACGAUCGCAAGAUUAAAACUCAAAGGAAUUGACGGGGGCCCGCACAAGCGGCGGAGCAUGCGGAUUAAUUCGAUGCAACGCGAAGAACCUUACCAAGGCUUGACAUAUAGAGGAAACGGCCAGAGAUGGUCGCCCCGCAAGGUCUCUAUACAGGUGG
RNAcentral lists this ribosomal RNA (244 nucleotides) under uncultured bacterium. Its description in RNAcentral is "partial 16S ribosomal RNA". It matches the Rfam family "Bacterial small subunit ribosomal RNA", at positions 796 to 1041 of the family's 1533-position model. The record is from RNAcentral.